GCCGAAGUGGUGAAAUUGGUAGACACGCUACCUUGAGGGGGUAGUGGGCAACAGCCCGUGCGAGUUCGAGUCUCGCCUUCGGCACCA
RNAcentral lists this transfer RNA (87 nucleotides) under Gammaproteobacteria bacterium. RNAcentral describes it as "tRNA-Leu". It matches the Rfam family "tRNA". From Rfam's summary of the family: Transfer RNA (tRNA) molecules are approximately 80 nucleotides in length. Their secondary structure includes four short double-helical elements and three loops (D, anti-codon, and T loops). The record is from RNAcentral. RNAcentral also lists the same sequence under 1 other name. Lineage: Bacteria; Pseudomonadati; Pseudomonadota; Gammaproteobacteria.